CGGGGCGGCGUCAGGCGCGGCACCUGCGGCGGAGGACGCGGGGAGGACUGUCCAGGCGGGCAGACUCAUGUUUGACUGCUGGAGGUUUGUCCUGUGCAAGAAAACUGGACGCAACCAUCAUUCUUCCCGGAGAGGCUCCGAUGAGACCGAAAAAGAAGAAGGUGACCCUCAGAUCGAUGUACCUGACGUCCUCAGGCUUGUCAGAGACCCACCAGAGGGGUCACAUUCACCUGCAGUGGCCCAUCUGUGACCCUGGAAGGCAACAUCUUGUUACACUAAGUAGACCAUGAAGUGCACUUGAGAUGCAAGAUUAUGUUUCUUCGUGCUUCGAAGGACCCAGCAGCCAGAAUGAUUUCUCCGCGUCUCGUCUCUUCCUUCACUUAGCUCAGCAUGGCUGAAUCAUGCAUGUAGAAUAGUUUUCUGUCCUUCUCUUCUUAAAUAAACACACACACCAAGUCCUGUUGUGCCUUCUCAA
Mirounga angustirostris (Northern elephant seal) is the source of this 475-nucleotide long non-coding RNA. RefSeq lists it as uncharacterized. The record is from RefSeq and is a predicted model, not a curated record. NCBI's taxonomy places the organism in Eukaryota, Metazoa, Chordata, Mammalia, Carnivora, Phocidae. The transcript is spliced from 3 exons.